GGGGGAAUAGCUCAAUGGUAGAGUAUGUGCUUAGCAUGCAUACGGUCCUGGGUUCAAUCCUCAGCACCUCCA
This 72-nucleotide transfer RNA is filed under the name Camelus bactrianus (Bactrian camel). It matches the Rfam family "tRNA". Rfam says of the family: Transfer RNA (tRNA) molecules are approximately 80 nucleotides in length. Their secondary structure includes four short double-helical elements and three loops (D, anti-codon, and T loops). RNAcentral also lists the same sequence under 2 other names. Lineage: Eukaryota; Metazoa; Chordata; Mammalia; Artiodactyla; Camelidae. The record is from Rfam by way of RNAcentral.